UACGGAGGGCUCAAGCGUUGUUCGGAUUCAUUGGGCGUAAAGGGCGCGUAGGCGGCGUGGUAAGUCGGGUGUGAAAUCCCGGAGCUUAACUCCGGAACUGCAUUCGAUACUGCCGUGCUUGAGGACUGGAGAGGAGACUGGAAUUUACGGUGUAGCGGUGAAAUGCGUAGAUAUCGUAAGGAAGACCAGUGGCGAAGGCGGGUCUCUGGACAGUUCCUGACGCUGAGGCGCGAAGGCCAGGGGAGCAAACGGG
Molecule: ribosomal RNA, 253 nt
Filed under: uncultured bacterium
Lineage: Bacteria
Description: partial 16S ribosomal RNA
Rfam family: Bacterial small subunit ribosomal RNA
Source: RNAcentral